AGUGAACGCUGGCGGUAGGCCUAACACAUGCAAGUCGAACGGCAGCACAGUAAGAGCUUGCUCUUACGGGUGGCGAGUGGCGGACGGGUGAGGAAUACAUCGGAAUCUACUUUUUCGUGGGGGAUAACGUAGGGAAACUUACGCUAAUACCGCAUACGACCUACGGGUGAAAGCAGGGGAUAUUCGGACCUUGCGCGAUUGAAUGAGCCGAUGUCGGAUUAGCUAGUUGGCGGGGUAAAGGCCCACCAAGGCGACGAUCCGUAGCUGGUCUGAGAGGAUGAUCAGCCACACUGGAACUGAGACACGGCCCAGACUCCUACGGGAGGCAGCAGUGGGGAAUAUUGGACAAUGGGCGCAAGCCUGAUCCAGCCAUACCGCGUGGGUGAAGAAGGCCUUCGGGUUGUAAGGCCCUUUUGUUGGGAAAGAAAAGCAGCAGGUUAAUACCCCGCUGUUCUGACGGUACCCAAAGAAUAAGCACCGGCUAACUUCGUG
RNAcentral lists this ribosomal RNA (492 nucleotides) under uncultured bacterium. RNAcentral's name for it is "partial 16S ribosomal RNA". It matches the Rfam family "Bacterial small subunit ribosomal RNA", at positions 29 to 507 of the family's 1533-position model. The record is from RNAcentral.